UGGGGAAUUUUGGACAAUGGGCGAAAGCCUGAUCCAGCAAUGCCGCGUGUGUGAAGAAGGCCUUCGGGUUGUAAAGCACUUUUGUCCGGAAAGAAAUCCUUGGCUCUAAUACAGUCGGGGGAUGACGGUACCGGAAGAAUAAGCACCGGCUAACUACGUGCCAGCAGCCGCGGUAAUACGUAGGGUGCAAGCGUUAAUCGGAAUUACUGGGCGUAAAGCGUGCGCAGGCGGUUUGCUAAGACCGAUGUGAAAUCCCCGGGCUCAACCUGGGAACUGCAUUGGUGACUGGCAGGCUAGAGUAUGGCAGAGGGGGGUAGAAUUCCACGUGUAGCAGUGAAAUGCGUAGAGAUGUGGAGGAAUACCGAUGGCGAAGGCAGCCCCCUGGGCCAAUACUGACGCUCAUGCACGAAAGCGUGGGGAGCAAACAGGAUUAGAUACCCUGGUAGUCCACGCCCUAAAACGAUGUCAACUAGUUGUUGGGGAUUCAUUUCCUUAGUAACGUAGCUAACGCGUGAAGUUGA
Molecule: ribosomal RNA, 521 nt
Filed under: uncultured bacterium
Lineage: Bacteria
Description: partial 16S ribosomal RNA
Rfam family: Bacterial small subunit ribosomal RNA
Source: RNAcentral